GACGAACGCUGGCGGCGUGCCUAAUACAUGCAAGUAGAACGCACAGUUUAUACCGUAGCUUGCUCCACCAUAGACUGUGAGUUGCGAACGGGUGAGUAACGCGUAGGUAACCUGCCUGGUAGCGGGGGAUAACUAUUGGAAACGAUAGCUAAUACCGCAUAAUAUUAAUUAUUGCAUGAUAAUUAAUUGAAAGGUGCAAUUGCACCACUACCAGAUGGACCUGCGUUGUAUUAGCUAGUAGGUGAGGUAACGGCUCACCUAGGCGACGAUACAUAGCCGACCUGAGAGGGUGAUCGGCCACACUGGGACUGAGACACGGCCCAGACUCCUACGGGAGGCAGCAGUAGGGAAUCUUCGGCAAUGGACGAAAGUCUGACCGAGAAACGCCGCGUGAGUGAAGAAGGUUUUCGGAUCGUAAAGCUCUGUUGUAAGAGAAGAAUGGGUGUGAGAGUGGAAAGUUCACACUGUGACGGUAUCUUACCAGAAAGGGACGGCUAACUACGUG
RNAcentral lists this ribosomal RNA (505 nucleotides) under uncultured bacterium. RNAcentral describes it as "partial 16S ribosomal RNA". It matches the Rfam family "Bacterial small subunit ribosomal RNA", at positions 28 to 507 of the family's 1533-position model. The record is from RNAcentral.